GUCUCAGUUCGGAUUGGAGUCUGCAACUCGACUGCAUGAAGUCGGAAUCGCUAGUAAUCGCGGAUCAGCAUGCCGCGGUGAAUACGUUCCCGGGCCUUGUACACACCGCCCGUCACACCAUGAGAGUCGGGAACACCCGAAGUCCGUAGCCUAACCGCAAGGGGGGCGCGGCCGAAGGUGGGUUCGAUAAUUGGGGUGAAGUCGUAACAAGGUACC
RNAcentral lists this ribosomal RNA (216 nucleotides) under uncultured bacterium. RNAcentral's name for it is "partial 16S ribosomal RNA". It matches the Rfam family "Bacterial small subunit ribosomal RNA", at positions 1285 to 1500 of the family's 1533-position model. The record is from RNAcentral.